CUGAAUGUGCAGUUCCUUGAUUGACCUGUCCUGAUGCAGUGCCUGACUGUAGUUCUGCAGCUCCACUGAAGAAGAGGCACUGAGGACUAGAGGCAGCCAGGGGAUUGCAACUCAAAGAGGUUUUCUAGAACCAGUUACUUCCAAAUUAUGUUCAAUUAGGCAACAGAACUAAAGAAUAUGCCUCUGAUCUACUUAUUUCUCAGCCUGAAUGCUGACUUCAUAGACUUUCAAAACAAAGUAAUAGGUGAGGAGCAAAGGAAGUAGUUCUGCUGACGGUUCAGGACCUGCUGUGUGGGUAGGGUGGUUCACUAGUCAUCCUGAAAGGUUUUUGAAGUGAUCGUAUCACCAUGAGAAAAAAAUCCUCACUCUUGAGCUUGAUUAAUGUGAUGAGAAGUGCAUCGCAGGGUAACGAAUGCUGUGUUAUUAGCCACCAAAUGCUCCACACGAUGCUGCAGUCUUUCAGAAGCAAAGGGCACAUUGAAAUAAAAUCACACUAAAAGUGUUCUUCUAGGUUUAUAUCCUAUAAUAGCAAUCGCCGCCUCAAUGCAAGCGUUUCUUAGGAAGGACUGACUGGCUGAGGUUAACUGCCCAGAGUACAGUUGAAGGCCACCAGUUCCUCCCCGCUACUCAUUAAUCCCCAGGAAAUCUCCUGAAUCCUGGCAGUUAUUGUUCAAUCCUUUAUAGACGAUUUUCUGAGUAUUUUGAGUGCUUGUUCUCCCCAGGAACACCUACAGCUGGCCAGAUUGUGUGUGUAUAGAGAAGAAAACUCUUUUUCUUAAAAGUGGAUUGAAUUUCAACCUCCCUAUAAAGACCCCUUAUGGGCCAAUGACUCAGAAAAAGUCACUUUAAUUGCGUUUUGGCUUCUCUCCUUUCUAAGGGAACAAGAGACGAGAGAAGCCAGGGAAAGUCAGGGAGGGAAGACAGAGGAGCCCAGCCACUCACAUUCUUUCUGGCUCCCAGCAAUCACCCAGUCAAAUGUGGGGCUGCUGGUGAGGACAAAAGGACCCGGCAGAACAGGUGCACCUGGGAGGGGGGUUCAGAGCCAAGAGACCAAGAGCCCUCCCUCAGGACAGCCGGGGAGGCCAACUGGACCCCAGACUCAACUCGGCAAAUGGGGGCAACUCCAACGAUCUACUUCCACAACACUGAGUAAUUUCUAGC
Molecule: long non-coding RNA, 1161 nt
Filed under: Homo sapiens (human)
Lineage: Eukaryota; Metazoa; Chordata; Mammalia; Primates; Hominidae
Description: HSALNT0304542
Source: RNAcentral